GCAGCUGGAAACUGUUGGAGGAGAUCUUCAGGAUCUGUCAGGAAAACAAUCCGUGCUGUCAGAGACUGACUCAGCCAUUCAGAAAACAAAUUUAAACUGUGUUUUUAUCAACUGCGAGCUGCUGGCCUUGCUUUGGAGACUAGGAUUGAAAGCACACCUUUUGGAAGUUGUAUUUCUGCAGCUGUGUAAGACCACAACCCCUGAGAACAAACUGCAGUUUGUUGUACCCUGUUUCAUGGGAGAAAUUGCUGAAAAGAGAAUCAAAAUAAGUGUAUGCAAGCAAAGAUGGUAACUAGAAGGCUACAGGAGGAUUGUGCUCCUCACAAAAAUGGAUAUGGUAAGUUUUCAGGACAAAGUUUUGAUUAUAUAAUCAAAUAUUAUAUAUAAAGUUUUGGUUAUAUAAUAAGCAGAGGGUAAAGAGUAAUGAUUUUCUCCCUUAAUGUGUCCCAAUACCUAACAAGCAACGAAGAAGCAGCAGAUUCCAGGUGCUUUUCCCAGUGUAAACUGACUUGGAAAAGAAGGAUUUCGCAGUGUUCAAAGCAAGCAGAAGGCAGAGGCAAAGUGCUCAGACACCCUGGGAGGUUACCUGGGCAUCUCAGAGUCCUGUGAAGGGUUGGGGGUGUUGGUUGCUGUCCUCUGGCUGCUCUCCCUGGAGGGUUGUAUUUAUAAAUGCUGCCUCCCAAGUACUGACAGCACUGGUACCUCACAAGAGAUGGCAGAGGACAAGCGAGAUAAGCACGCCUUGAAAAAGGGAACUGUGGAUUUAACCACAUGGUGGAAGGCUCCAUACAGACAGAAAUGGGUUUAUUUAUUAGUGUUAAUUAUAAUUAUAUACAAUGGUCUGAGGGUUCUCUGGUGACUUUUCAAGAGCAGGAAUGUGAUGACUGGCAGCAAAGAAAUAACCUACAGCCACAGUGUUGAUAUCCCCAUGUGUUCAUCCCCGAGAAAAUCAAACCCAGACAUUGCUGGAAAACUGUGCAUGUUUUGCCCAGUUUUUUUAAUGCCAUUUUGUCCAAAGCUCUGGCCAUACAGCCAUGCAGACACCAGCAGCUUUUUAGGAAGUCACCAGUACCAGAGCAAAACCAGCUUCCUAAUAUUGUGCUGAGAGCAUUGAGCUGAGGUCUGUGGGGUUGGAUAACUUCUGCAUUGCCCCGAGAAGCUGUGGAUCCCCUAUCCCUGGAAGUGUUCAGGUGUCAGAAACAGGAUGGGACCUUGACUGGUUGCAGACUUAGGAUUUAUUAUCUGUCCGUGUCAUACAAGCAAAAAGCAAGAGACACAGGGAAAUAACAACAUCCAUACAAAUCCAGAUCAGAGACAAGGUGGCUGCCCAUGCAAAGCCUUUUUCUACAUAUUCUUUGAACUAAUAGUGUAAAAGAAAAGGUGUAAAAUUAUUAUAUUCUAACUAAUAAGAAAAAGACCUACAUAGGUUUAACAUUAACAACAGUGCUGGGGAGCAGCUGGACUUGAUGAUCUCAGAGGGCUUUUCCAAAAUGAUGACUUUGUGAUUUCAAUGAUUCAAACAUUUAAUUGCUACAGAAUUCCUUGCCAUCGGAGGGAGAAGAAACUCAUCAGUUCCAUCCCAGUUAUUUUGCCAUUACCAAACUAUGUAUUUUUUCCCCCUGCUAUAACUUGUUUUUCUGUUGUAAUUUCUUUUCUCUAAACCGAGACAAAGCCACAGUAAAUAUUUUAUGUCUUGUA
Non-coding RNA from Taeniopygia guttata (zebra finch), 1698 nucleotides. The record is from RefSeq and is a predicted model, not a curated record. NCBI's taxonomy places the organism in Eukaryota, Metazoa, Chordata, Aves, Passeriformes, Estrildidae.